This 271-nucleotide small RNA is filed under the name Paenibacillaceae bacterium GAS479. Its description in RNAcentral is "BsrG". It matches the Rfam family "BsrG". From Rfam's summary of the family: bsrE, bsrG and bsrH pair through intermolecular interactions with antisense sRNAs. SR4 interaction with the 3'UTR of bsrG RNA promotes bsrG degradation and inhibits its translation. Lineage: Bacteria; Bacillati; Bacillota; Bacilli; Caryophanales; Paenibacillaceae. The record is from Rfam by way of RNAcentral.
GCACAUAGAACGGCUUGCAAGGGCGGUUGGCUACCUCUCCGAGAAGGGAGGGAUGCCCAUGGAGGUUAAAGAUGCUUUGACGUUAAUGAUCGGUUUUAGUGCGCUUAUAGUAGCGAUGCUGACGCUGGUUGUUGCCAUCAUUGCAGUGAUUAACCAAAAGAAAUAGACCGCCCAUCUGCUAGGAUAACGGUCUAUUUCUGAUCGCAAUUCUGAAGCCGACCGCCUUUGAAGCGGUCUACUGUGCCGGAGGAGUCGUGUUGACGCACGGCUC